AAAAGUGUGGGCCUUAUCUCAAGGAGAAGUUCGAGAUAUCCUCAAAACACAUUCUCAUGUGUGGAAAGAUUCACAUUACGUUGAAGUUGCUACCUUAACUAGGUAUACAAGGUGAUUGGACAUGAAUUGAGAUUUACUGCUCCUCAUUUUGGAUUAACUAGCCAUAUAAAUAUUUCUCUUUCAAUAUUCUGUCAAUUAUAUGUUCUUUGAAUAACCGUUCAGAUUUUGAUUUGACCAUUUACAUUGUAUACACUAAUAAUCUAGUUAGAAGUUUAAGGCCUGGAGAUUUUGACAGACAUGUCACCGUCGAUAGGCUUGAUGUUGCUCGUAGAGUAAAGAUUCUUCAAUCUUCGGGUCAGUUAUCUCUUAUGGAAACUGUUAUAUACUCCGGCUUAAUCAGCUAUAAGUUUAUAUGCUUUAGUUUGAAAAUCUUUGAAAAUAUAUUGUUGUGCAUAUUUUGUCGAACUUCGAGUUAAUUUAUAUUGUAUUUAGGUGUCUUCAUCUAGAUUUCAAAUCUUAUAUCAAACUGGUUCUAUUUUCAUUGGGUUUGGUUGGCCAUAUUAAGGUAGAGAUGAUCUUUGCAAUAUUUGUAGUAAAUCUGUAACGAAUUAUCGCUUUUUUGAAGGAUGUUGAAUUUGAUAAGUUCCAUAUAGAAGAACACCAGGUUUCUCCAGAGCAGAUUUGCAGAACCUGAUGAAUGAAGCGCAACCAUACUUGCAGCGAGACGUGAGCUUAAGGAUGUGAAAAAUGGUAUAAACUAUUUUUUUUACAAAGUAUUAUCAUGAGUUGAGCAUAGAGAGGGGUUUUUUUAUCUUUUGAUUUCCUUAACUUUCUGAUAACCAUUGAAUUCAGCUCAAAAUGAUAUGAAUAGCAGAACUUGGGGAUACGUAUAUAUCGACCCCAGCUACAUGUUAUUGCAACAAUGCUUGGUGGCAUCAACUAUGGAUAACUUAAUAAUUCACCGAUUUAUGGUACCCGACCGACAUUGUUCAAGGAAUACAUUCAUUUUCUUGAGAGUUGGUUAGUUGUAUAUGUGUUUAUGUACUAUGUUCUUUUAUUUUGUAUACAUUUACAUGAGUGUUAGGGACUUGUGGUUAAUGCUUUGUAAUGGUGGAAUGUUCGUAUCGGUUUUUUGAAUUCAUUUUGCUAU
This 1150-nucleotide long non-coding RNA is filed under the name Erythranthe guttata (spotted monkey flower). RNAcentral's name for it is "long non-coding RNA (EGUT_LNC000814)". Lineage: Eukaryota; Viridiplantae; Streptophyta; Magnoliopsida; Lamiales; Phrymaceae. The record is from RNAcentral.